AUAUAUAUAUAGUCUACUAUACUAUUAAUAGUAUCAACCACUUAUUAUUAGGUUUUCGGCCUUUGGACAAAGGGAUGUGCGGUUAGAAUGAUAGUGAUCCUUUAAGGUUAAGUGGGUGGUUACUUAAAUAAUAUGAUUUAACGGAUAAAAAUGGUCAAAAAGGUAGAUUUAACGGCACAUAAUUCGAUAACACUAAGUAUUUGAUACUAUUGAUAAUAUAGUUGCCAGACUCUAUCUCUCUCUCCUCUCUAUAUAUAUAGUCCGGCUACUAUACUAUUUAUACUAUUGAUAGUACUAAGCGCUUUGUACUAUUGAGUUUUCUACCAUUAGAUCUGCCUAUAUAUAUAUAUAUAUAUAUAGAGUCCGGCUAUUAUACUAUCGAUAGUACCAAGCAUUUGGCACUAUCGAGUUUUCUGCUGUUAGAUCUAUCCCUUUGGCUAUUUUUAGAUCAUACUAUUCAACUAGCCACCCACUCAACCCUAGGGGGCUACUAUCAUCCUUACCGCACAUCCAUUCAUCCAAAGGCCGAAAACCUAAUAGCAAGCGGUUUGUACUAUUAAUAGUAUAAUAGCCAAAUUUUAUAUAUAUAAACUCGGGCUACUAUACUCUUAUAAGUAUAGAACUCUUUAUACUUAUAAAUUUUCAGUCAUUGAAUGUGCGAUUAGAAUGAUAGUGGUCCCCUAAGAUUGAGUUGGUGGUUCGUUGAACAGUAUGAUUUAGUGGAUGAAAAUGGUCAAAAUGAUAUAAAUCUAAUGGUCGAAAACUUAUGAGUAUAAUUAUACU
RNAcentral lists this long non-coding RNA (783 nucleotides) under Ananas comosus (pineapple). RNAcentral's name for it is "long non-coding RNA (ACOM_LNC000936)". Lineage: Eukaryota; Viridiplantae; Streptophyta; Magnoliopsida; Poales; Bromeliaceae. The record is from RNAcentral.